UAUGGCAAGUUAUAUUUGCAUGAUUUAGCAUAAUUCAUUAAUCAUUACCGGUGGCUCGCGCAUGUGACUGACCAAUACCUCACAAGGCUUUCUCUCUCCAAGUUGAGACCUUGAAACUGAGAUACCUCGGUUGUUUCCAUAGCAACAUUCUGGGCGUACUGCCAAGUUGCUUAUCAGUGACAGUGAGGAUUCCUCCAUGCACGAUCAGUCAGUCACCUGCAUGAACCCAUCGAAUUGGUUCAGAGAAAAGCAGCAUUGAUUUGAUAGACCGCUCCUGUCUCAGCCUCCAGUAUUUAUGCUGCAGUAGUUUAUGUGUCGGGGGGCUAGGGUCAGUUGGUUAUACCUGGAGUACUUCUCCUGUCUUAUCCAGUGUCCUGUGUGAAUUUAAGUAUGCUCUCUCUAAUUCUCUCGUUCUCUCUUUCUCUCUGAGAACCUGAGCCCUAGGACCAUACGUCAGGACUACCGGGCAUGCUGACACCUUGCUGUCCCCAGUCCGCCCGGCCUUGCUGCUAUUCCAGUUUCAACUGUUUCUGCCUGCGGUUACGAAACCCCCACCUGUCCCAGACCUGCUGUUUUCAACUCUUAAUGAUCGGCUAUGAAAAGCCAACUGAGAUUUAUUCCUGAUUAUUAUUUGACCAUGCUUGUCAUUUAUGAACAUUUUGAAAAUCUUGGCUCUCUCUAAUUUUCUCCUUCUCUCUUUCUUUCUCUCGGAGGACCUGAGCCCUAGGACCAUACGUCGGGACUACCGGCCGUGGUGACUCCUUGCUGCCCUCAGUCCGCCUGGCCUUGCUGCUAUUCCAGUUUCAACUCUUCUGCCUGCGGUUAUGGAACCCCUACCUGUCCCAGACCUGCUGUUUUCAACUCUUAAUGAUCGGCUAUGAAAAGCCAACUGAGAUUUAUUCCUGAUUAUUAUUUGACCAUGCUUGUCAUUUAUGAACAUUUUGAAAAUCUUGGCUCUCUCUAAUUUUCUCCUUCUCUCUUUCUUUCUCUCGGAGGACCUGGGCCCUAGGACCAUGCGUCGGGACUGCCGCCCGUGGUGACUCCUUGCUGUCCCCAGUCCGCCUGGCCUUGCUGCUAUUCCAGUUUCAGCUGUUCUGCCUGCGGUUAUGGAACCGCCACCUGUCCCAGACCUGUUGUUUUUCAACUCUUAAUGAUCAGCUAUGAAAAGCCAACUGAAAAUUAUUCAUGAUUAUUAUUUGACCAUGCUUGUCACUUAUGAACAUUUUUGAACAUCUUGGCAUAGUUCUGUUAUAAUCUCCACCCGGCACAGCCAGAAGAGGACUGGCCACCCCUCAUAGCCUGGUUCCUCUCUAGGUUUCUUCCUAGGUUUUGGCCUUUCUAGGGAGUUUUUCCUAGCCACCGUGCUUCUACACCUGCAUUCUAGCUGUUUGGGGUUUUAGGCUGGGUUUCUGUACAGCACUUCGAGAUAUUAUCUGAUGUACGAAGGGCUAUAUAAAAUAAAAUUGAUUGAAAAUUGAUUGAUACAAACAUAACAUUUCCCUCACAGUACUUUGAGAUCACUGAAACCCCACCUGAUGUGGUGGAAGAUCAGAACGCCUUCGAGGACCACUUUCAGACACGGGCUGAGAAGGAUGUGGAGGUAUUUGACCAGUUGAGACUGAACAUGGACAAGGCGCCAGGAGAAAAAGAAGGAGAGCCACCGGAGGAGAAUCAAGGGGACUAAGUGCUUUGGCAUCUGGGCGAAUGACUUGGCUUGGAAGAAAGACGAAAGGAAGGAUCUAGGGGUUCUGCCCAACACCCAGACAUGGAUCCACCUGAUGUCCUCCAUUACCAACCACCCUCCAACUUUUCAUUACAUCAGCUACUGUUAUUAUCAUGUUGUCAUUAUCUGCUAAGAAAGAGCAAGAAAACUAUCAUACUGGGCACAUAAUGUGAGCUGCACAGAUUAGCUAAAAACACGAGCACUGCAAACACUCAGAACAAAGAGAGCAGCAGCGCCUGGACUUUGCAGUCUCCCUCUUCCGAGACUGACUACCUGUUGAAAACCAGUGACGGGCAGAACCUCCCAUCCACACAGCACCCACCACCUCUCUAUUCACCUAUCUACCAGAAUUCCGUAUUUCAGUCAUACGUAUUCUAUCUUUUUGGUCUUUUGCGGUAACCUACCACUAAUAUUCUAAAUUGCGGAGCAUUUAAUAAACCAACCAUACUUUCCUGUGAUGUUGAGGCUGAGCAAGACCUUCAAUAGGCUAGUAGACUAUGCGGAAAUAAUCGUGUAGUUAUUCAUUGAUAUAGCCUAGAUCGCUUUAUAUAAUCUGGACCAUUGUUUGUUCUAAGUCUAAGCAAACAAGGGCUAUCAAAUCAAAUCAAAUGUUAUUGGUCACAUGCACAUGGUUAGCAGAUGUUAAAGCGAGUGAAGUGAAAUGCUCAUGCUUCUAGUUCCAACAGUGCAGUAAUAUCUAACAAGUAAUCUAACAAAUUCACAACAACUACCUUAUACAAACAAAUGUAAAGGAAUGAAUAAGAAUAUGUACAUAUAAAUAUAUGGAUGAGCGAUGGCUGUGCGGCAUAGGCAAAAUGCAGUAGAUGGCAUAUGAGAUGAGGAAUGUAGGAUAUGUAAACAUUAUUUAAGUGGCAUUAUUUAAAGUGACUAGUGAUACCUUGAUUAAAUCCAUUUAUUCAAGUG
Long non-coding RNA from Salvelinus fontinalis (brook trout), 2647 nucleotides. RefSeq lists it as uncharacterized. The record is from RefSeq and is a predicted model, not a curated record. Lineage: Eukaryota; Metazoa; Chordata; Actinopteri; Salmoniformes; Salmonidae. The transcript has 3 exons.